AUUGAACGCUGGCGGCAUGCCUUACACAUGCAAGUCGAACGGCAGCACGGGAGCAAUCCUGGUGGCGAGUGGCGAACGGGUGAGUAAAGUAUCGGAACGUGCCCAGUCGUGGGGGAGCACGUAGCGAAAGUUACGCUAAUACCGCAUACGAUCUAUGGAUGAAAGCGGGGGAUCGCAAGACCUUGCGCGAUUGGCGCGUCCGAUAGAAGAUUAGGUAGUUGGUGGGGUAAAGGCAAACCAAGCCGACGAUCUGUAGCUGGUCUGAGAGGACGACCAGCCACACUGGGAAUGAGACACGGCCCAGACUCCUACGGGAGGCAGCAGUGGGGAAUUUUGGACAAUGGGCGAAAGCCUGAUCCAGCCAUGCCGCGUGCAGGAUGAAGGCCUUCGGGUUGUAAACUGCUUUUGUACGGAACGAAAAGGUUUGGCCUAAUAAGCUGAGCUCAUGACGGUACCGUAAGAAUAAGCACCGGCUAACUACGUGCCAGCAGCCGCCGUAA
Molecule: ribosomal RNA, 500 nt
Filed under: uncultured bacterium
Lineage: Bacteria
Description: partial 16S ribosomal RNA
Rfam family: Bacterial small subunit ribosomal RNA
Source: RNAcentral